CUUGUAAGCCCUAGAGGAUAUUGGAAUCAGCUUCCAAAAUAGUUUUCUAGCUUUUCUCUAAAAGGAAUCCCAAACCAAAUCCAAGCAUUGCGUUGCGGGACCAUAGACCCAAGUUUAUUUAAUUCUCUUCUGUGAUUUGAACCUCAGGAGAUGUUCAAAAGCUAGAAGUUCUUGAAUACUUUUCUAAGACCUAUAGUGUGAUGUCACAGUGGGAAAGUAUGUGCUUAGGGGGAAGAAUAACAACACAACCUACUAAAAAAGCCCAAACACACUCACAUCCUAUAAAGAAAUUGUGAAUGUAUUCAUUUUGGCUUUCUUACUGCCUGUAUACUUGCUUUCUCAUCUCAAAACUUAGCAAGAAUGUUCAGAGAGGUGAAAGUACUUCAGUUGGAGACCUGCAGUAACAGGUGAAGAAAAUGAAUUCUAAAGUUCUGCCUAUGGCUACAGAUAAUUGUACAGUCACAGAAAAGCCCACGUUUAUUUUAUAAAAAUGAAAACACAGUCACUAACUUCAUUUUAUCACUCCUAACUUUAUUUUUCGAAAUACAAUAGUGAGGCAAGAAAACAGUUCUAACAGAGGGGUGGAGUGGAAGGAUAGAAUUAAUGCAUCCAAUAACCCUAGGUCCUACCAGGAUCGUGGUGGACAUCAAGUUGAACAUGAGACAACAUUGUGCCCUUGUGGCAAGAGAGGCCAACGCCAGGGGCUGCACUAGCAGGAGUGUUGCCAGCUGAUCAAUACUUGCUGGCGGGGUAAGAGGUAAUGGGGAAGACUGAAAUGAUGGGAAAUCCAUUUAAACGGAAGAGAAAUCUUUCUCACUGUGAGAAUAUUCAAGUGACGGAACAAGUUUCUCAGACACCUUGUGGAUUCUUCACUCCUGGAAAUACUCAGAACCCGACUCCAUGUGGUUGUGGAUGAUCUGCUCACUUGCCCCACUUUGAGCUAGGGGAGAUGGACUGGGUGAUCUACAGAGGUUCCUCCAACCUCAGCCCUGCUGUGAUCCUGUGAUUCUUGGUAACAUCCAUUUCUUGCCUAAGAAAAGAAGAACAUGACUGGAUUUUGGUUAUUAUGAUUAUUUUUUUCCUAAAUUAAAGAAUUUACAGCAAAAUUCCCCAAAUUCUAAAAGCCUAUAGAAAUCCUAAUGGUAAAAUUUAUUUCGGAACUGAAGUGUAGUCUCUUUAC
Long non-coding RNA from Gallus gallus (chicken), 1180 nucleotides. The record is from Ensembl. NCBI's taxonomy places the organism in Eukaryota, Metazoa, Chordata, Aves, Galliformes, Phasianidae.